Molecule: ribosomal RNA, 254 nt
Filed under: uncultured bacterium
Lineage: Bacteria
Description: partial 16S ribosomal RNA
Rfam family: Bacterial small subunit ribosomal RNA
Source: RNAcentral
UACGUAGGGGGCUAGCGUUGUCCGGAUUUAUUGGGCGUAAAGAGCUCGUAGGCGGCUUAGUAAGUCGGGUGUGAAACCUCCAGGCUCAACCUGGAGACGCCACCCGAUACUGCUGUGGCUAGAGUCCGGUAGGGGAGCGUGGAAUUCCUGGUGUAGCGGUGAAAUGCGCAGAUAUCAGGAGGAACACCAGCGGCGAAGGCGGCGCUCUGGGCCGGUACUGACGCUGAGGAGCGAAAGCGUGGGGAGCAAACAGG